AGAGUUUGAUCCUGGCUCAGAACGAACGCUGGCGGCGUGCUUAACACAUGCAAGUCGCACGAGAAAGGUCCUUCGGGGCUGAGUAAAGUGGCGCACGGGUGAGUAAUGCAUGGAUAACCUGUCCCCGAGUGGGGGAUAACCCCGGGAAACCGGGGCUAAUACCGCAUGACACCGUGGCUCCCUCGGGGGCUGCGGUCAAAGCUGGCCGCUGCUUGCAUGCUGGCGCUUGGAGAGGGGUCCAUGCCCCAUUAGCUUGUUGGUGAGGUAACGGCUCACCAAGGCUCCGAUGGGUAGCCGACCUGAGAGGGUGAUCGGCCACACUGGGACUGAGAUACGGCCCAGACUCCUACGGGAGGCAGCAGUGGGGAAUUUUGCGCAAUGGGCGAAAGCCUGACGCAGCGACGCCGCGUGGAGGAUGAAGGCCCUUGGGUCGUAAACUCCUGUCAGGUGGGAAGAAAGUCGCUGGGUGAAUAGCCCGGUGUCUUGACUGUACCACCAGAGGAAGCCCCGGCUAACUCCGUGCCAGCAGCCGCGGUAAUACGGAGGGGGCGAGCGUUGUUCGGAAUUACUGGGCGUAAAGGGCGCGUAGGCGGCUGAUCAAGUCGGGUGUGAAAGCCCUCGGCUCAACCGAGGAAUUGCACUCGAUACUGGUCGGCUAGAGUCCGGGAGGGGGUAGCGGAAUUCCCAGUGUAGCGGUGAAAUGUGUAGAUAUUGGGAAGAACACCGGUGGCGAAGGCGGCUACCUGGACCGGAACUGACGCUGAGGCGCGAAAGCCAGGGGAGCGAAUGGGAUUAGAUACCCCGGUAGUCCUGGCUGUAAACGAUGGGCACUUGGUGUGGUGGGUACUGACCCCUGCCGUGCCGUAGCUAACGCGUUAAGUGCCCCGCCUGGGGAGUACGGUCGCAAGGCCGAAACUCAAAGGAAUUGACGGGGGCCCGCACAAGCGGUGGAGCAUGUGGUUUAAUUCGAUCCAUGCGAAGAACCUUACCUGGGUUUGAAUUGCCGGUGACCGCUCCAGAGAUGGAGUUUCCCUUCGGGGCACCGGUGAAGGUGCUGCAUGGCUGUCGUCAGCUCGUGUCGUGAGAUGUUGGGUUAAGUCCCGCAACGAGCGCAACCCUUACCCUUAGUUGCCAUCGGGUCAAGCCGGGCACUCUAGGGGGACUGCCCGGGAUAACCGGGAGGAAGGUGGGGAUGACGUCAAGUCCUCAUGGCCCUCAUGUCCAGGGCUACACACGUGCUACAAUGGCCGGUAUAGAGGGCAGCGAAGCUGCGAAGUGGAGCGAAUCCCAAAAAGCCGGUCCCAGUACGGAUUGGAGUCUGCAAUUCGACUCCAUGAAGGUGGAAUCGCUAGUAAUCGCGGAUUAGUAUGCCGCGGUGAAUACGUUCCCGGGCCUUGUACACACCGCCCGUCACAUCACGAAAGUUGGCUGCACUAGAAGUCGCUGGGCCAACCCUUCGGGGAGGCAGGUGCCGAAAGUGAGGUUAGCGAUUGGGGUGAAGUCGUAACAAGGUA
This 1514-nucleotide ribosomal RNA is filed under the name metagenome. Its description in RNAcentral is "bacterial SSU rRNA". It matches the Rfam family "Bacterial small subunit ribosomal RNA". The record is from RNAcentral.